UCCGUAGGUGAACCUGCGGAAGGAUCAUUCACACGAGAGAUUCGUUAUCUACCUCUUCACUGUGAACAACGUUCUGUGAUGCUCGGUCGUGAGGUGAAAAUCUCAUGCUUGAGCAUUGCGGGUGAUGGACCAGACUGGGGCUGUCUUCCCUUUCUGCAUCUGUCACCGUGUCUUUCUUCAACGACCGUCUCAAACGGUGAUUUACCAGAUCAGCUUUGCGCUGAAUCUCAACUCACAACUUUCAGCGAUGGAUGCCUCGGUUCGAACAACGAUGAAGGGCGCAGCGAAGUGUGAUAAACAUUGUAAAUUGCAGAAUUCCGCGAACCAACAGAACUUUGAACGCAUACUGCGCUUUCAGGAUAUGCCUGAAAGCAUGCCUACUUCAGAGCUUCUUUAUUUCCAUGCGCUCGGUCUAGGCUCAGCGCGUCUUUGUGCAUUAGCACGCAGCUUCAGCCUGCUGCUGAUGCUCUAAGUGAAUCAGUGCGGACUUUGAGCAAGGAACAGAUUGAGCUCUGCACAGUUGUGUCCCUUGUCUCUCGGCCCGUGCCGUCUCUGUCUGGCGAAAUCUUUCGCCCAAAGCAUGAAGUUAGGUCAGGAAACCCGCUGAAUUUAAGCAUAUCAAUAAGCGGAGGAA
RNAcentral lists this ribosomal RNA (634 nucleotides) under uncultured eukaryote. RNAcentral's name for it is "eukaryotic LSU rRNA". The stretch from base 237 to 391 matches the Rfam family "5.8S ribosomal RNA". The record is from RNAcentral.